AGUGGGGAAUUUUGGACAAUGGGCGCAAGCCUGAUCCAGCCAUGCCGCGUGCAGGAUGAAGGCCUUCGGGUUGUAAACUGCUUUUGUACGGAACGAAACGGCCUUUUCUAAUAAAGAGGGCUAAUGACGGUACCGUAAGAAUAAGCACCGGCUAACUACGUGCCAGCAGCCGCGGUAAUACGUAGGGUGCAAGCGUUAAUCGGAAUUACUGGGCGUAAAGCGUGCGCAGGCGGUGAUGUAAGACAGUUGUGAAAUCCCCGGGCUCAACCUGGGAACUGCAUCUGUGACUGCAUCGCUGGAGUACGGCAGAGGGGGAUGGAAUUCCGCGUGUAGCAGUGAAAUGCGUAGAUAUGCGGAGGAACACCGAUGGCGAAGGCAAUCCCCUGGGCCUGUACUGACGCUCAUGCACGAAAGCGUGGGGAGCAAA
This 427-nucleotide ribosomal RNA is filed under the name uncultured Variovorax sp. Its description in RNAcentral is "bacterial SSU rRNA". It matches the Rfam family "Bacterial small subunit ribosomal RNA", at positions 353 to 772 of the family's 1533-position model. The record is from RNAcentral. Lineage: Bacteria; Pseudomonadati; Pseudomonadota; Betaproteobacteria; Burkholderiales; Comamonadaceae.